Molecule: long non-coding RNA, 905 nt
Filed under: Mus musculus (house mouse)
Lineage: Eukaryota; Metazoa; Chordata; Mammalia; Rodentia; Muridae
Description: long non-coding RNA chr11:56075215-56076120
Source: RNAcentral
AGAAACUUGUACAAGGUCACAUAGAUCCCUUCAAUCGUUCUUAAAUUCUGUUUUCUCAUUUAAAAAAUCACAUUUCAUAUUAAAUCAUUUCUUGACAUUUUUCUGCAUAUACACAAUGACCUGUGACUGUACUUACGCCCUUACUCUCUCUUCACCACCCCCCACUGACCCUCCUUGCCCCCAAUUAGCCCUCCCUCCCAUCUUUCCAUGUUUUUUUCCAUUUAAUCAAGGUGGCUUGUAUUGUAUGGGUUGGAACACCGGGUAAGUAACCAGUGGUCAAAAGAAAAUGACUUCCAGUCUCCUAGCAACCACAAACCAUCAAUAGCUCUUCAGAGAAGUGUACCUCGCCCCUGCCCUGUCCAUGGUGAGUGUGGACUGAGUCUGUUCAGUCUUGUGUAGGUAUCCACAGUAUAACAAUAUUAAACUUGUAAAAAGAGAAGACAAUGCACAAAUAGGCUGCUAUCAACUGUAGAAAAAUACAGGUCUGUCAAAAGAAACAGGGGGUCGUGACAGAUGCAUGCCAGGCCGCAUGUGUUGGGUGGGAGAAUGUGGUCUUCAGAUGGGUAGUGGAGACACUGGUAACUUCAUAACAGGUUCAGUCUGCUAUCAUUUGCAAUUAGCUUAUAUUCACUUGGUGGUCUUGGUUGGUGAUGCAAACACCAAAGCUAGUCCUUUGCAGUGAAAGGUAGGAGCCAUCUAUGGUGCCAUGCCAGCGCACCAAAGCUGUAAUGCAAGGCUCCAGGAUGCACCUCACUUGGCUCUCCCGCCUUUCCACUGUGUCCUAAGGAUGGCUCUAAGGUGUGAAGGCCCCUCUCACCCAUCACAGCAUUUCUUCCUGUAGGUGUUUUUCUAAUGAGAGGCACUAACGACCCUGCCACAUGUCUGGCAAACACGUUUAUUGAACA